This 28-nucleotide non-coding RNA is filed under the name Homo sapiens (human). Lineage: Eukaryota; Metazoa; Chordata; Mammalia; Primates; Hominidae. The record is from RNAcentral.
GGUAACGUUAUGAACCAUCUUCAUGUGC